Takifugu rubripes (torafugu) is the source of this 2790-nucleotide long non-coding RNA. Lineage: Eukaryota; Metazoa; Chordata; Actinopteri; Tetraodontiformes; Tetraodontidae. The record is from Ensembl.
CAGGUGAAACGACCAACCUAAAACGACUUACAUUAAUCAUUUCAGAUAGCAGACUACAUUUUUCCCUCAGGUAUAGACAGAAAGGAUAUAAUCUAUCUAGAUUUAUAACUAUUAGCAGGAUAAAAAUCCCUCGGAAGAACUUAACACGGUGAACUGUUACAUUCAGUAGGGUGUUUACACAUUUAUUAGUCAGCUAUUAUGUCAUGUGAAACAAGAGUAAGAUUUUUUUGUUGUUACAGAUAGAAAAGUGCCCUCUGCAGCUGAGGGGUCAAAGGACCCUGGUGAGAGAGCCACAGGGGGGCAAUUGCAGCUUUCACACUCACAAGGUGACUACAAUUAAAAGGAAAGACUGCAAAUAUUGACACAUUCAACUUUAUUUUGGUUGUGUGUGAUUUUCUGGGAGGACUGUACUGUUUGAUUUCAUAUUAAAAACAUUGGCUUAACUUCAACCUGGAUCGGCUGGGCUCUGUCAGUGGGUCAUGAAGAUAAAUGGUCUGUUCCUCACCUGAAGAAUGGCAUUACAUGUAUCAGGAGGUAAUAUUAUUCUGGGUUUUGUAAUCUUCAACUAACCAAAACACCCUAACGUAGUUUAUUGCUUUAAAAUACAGAUCCCACAGGCACUAAUGGCACUAAUCAAGCACAGGUGUGAAGUUUCAAUAAAAUAACUGUUUGAUGAUAAUUACCAUCCAUUAAAGACAAUUGUUGAUAUGAAUUAAUGUUAAUAGUAGUCGCAGUAUUAAUUUCACACUCUUUUGAUCAUUUAAUUUACAUGUGCUAGUACUGGGCAAAUGAUGAUUUCUUGAUGGUUUCUGUGACUCUUCAGCUUCCUGCUGCUGCUGCUGCCUCAACAUGCAUUGUUGGCCAGAGCACGUCUGCAUCCACUGGUGAUUCGCCAGUGUCACGUCCUGCACACUCGUUCUCUGUGAUACCCUCUGUUGUUCCAGAAACAACCCAUGCAGGUGACACAUCAGUCACCCUUCCUCCUCCAGAGAAGUCCAGUCAGCUCUACUGAUGUCUCCACUGCUCCAGUAAGGUCGAGGAUAAAUGUUUCAAUGGUAAAUUUAACAUACUGAUAUUAAUUUCUAGUCAAAGUUACUUACUCCAAAUGUUCUUCAAGCAUAAAAACAUCUUAUGACAUAGUGAUGCAACGUUUUGCCUCUAAUUUCCAAGGCUUUUGAUUUUGAUAUAUGUUUUAUGAGUUUGAUAUAUGUUUUAUGAGUUUGAUAUAUGUUAUUUUAAGUUUGAAAGAUCAAGGCUUGGUGGAAAACGUGAGAGCUGCAAAGCCAAACCUGAACGUUUCCAGAAAACCUUCCCAGGUGAAUAUAAGAACAUAUUAUGAAGUUUGGCAUGUACAUACAAAUGUAUGACAGUGGCAAAUAAAACAUGUACAAUAACAUGUCACAUCUAUAUAACCCCAUAGGUACCAGUGACUGCAUCGGGACAUGAGGGUCCUGGGGCAGCUUCAGCCAUCGACCCAUCUCCUGAUCCUGUCCCAUUGCCAAAGCAGCCUCAUCAACCUUCCCCAUCUCGUCCAACUGUUUCCGCAUCCCCAGACACCUUCCUUGCUCCCCCAUUACCACCAUCUGUGCAGCCACCAGCACCUGCUCAGCCUGUGACGGAUCAUACUGUUGUGAGCAACCUGGUAAAAACAGUCAACAUCAAUAGAUAAAAGUGAUGAUACUUUUGUUUUGCCUUAAACUAUUGCAUGGGAUGAGUCUUAAAAGGCAGGUCUCCUUGUUUUUCUGAACUUUAACAGAACCCCUUUCAGCCAGAGCAUUCUGCUGCUCUCCCACUGCUGUGGCCAAAGACAAUGCCACAGCAGGACCACAAGUGGGUGUCAUCAGCUUUGUUCAGGGUUGGUUCAGGUGGAAAGUUGGAGUUGCGUGACCAGCUUCAGCUGUGGUAUUACCCUCCACAGCCAUCUCUGGUGUACCACCAGGCUCCAACCCCUUUGCCGUACGGCUGCUCUGCUUAAAGCCAGCAUGUAAUGGGCAUCCACAGGCCAGCGGUGGUCUUCACAGGAGAGUGCGCCAGGUCCUUGAUAUUGACCGCUAUUACAACUUGGUCACAGAGACCCUGAUAUGCAGGCAAUUCUCCAGCAGCUGGACCUGGAACACCGCUCAGAGUUUAGGGUCAUCCUGACACGCAGGUACACGACACAAAUACAUACAUAUGCACUCACUACACAUAUUUACACAUCAAAAUGUAGUUUGGAGAAAGAGAGAAUAUUUUUUUUCCUUUUUAAAGAUAUGCCUGUGACAUCAGAGUGAUCCGUCUAGAUGCCUCUAGACUGCUGCAACCACAUUUUAGGAGCCCCCAGUAUCAGCGGUGUUACCAAGCUAUAAGUGGCUCCUUGUUGUGUACAGUCAAGAUAUCCUGAACAGGCUGGAGGAUAUUGAGGCUAAGAUAACUUCAGUCUAUGGAUGCAUUUUAAAAAUGGACUCUACUAAGACGGUUAGAAUUUGAAUAGCUCUAAUCUUCCAAAUAAUAUACACUCAAUCUUUACAUAAAUGUUCUGACGGUUUUUGAAUUUUCAGAUCACCAAGAAGCUCAGUGGACCUGCCAAGGGCACUGUCCGGUGGCUGACUUCUGUGGGGAACAAAAUGGGUCAGGUACUCAUUAGUGUCCUAACAGCCAGUGAGGGUCCAGCAUUGGAUCUUAUGGCCGCAGGCCUGAUGGACAGGUAAUAAUGACAAUACUGAUGAACUAUGAGCUAUUUAAAAGCACAUGUUAUAAACUGCUUACCAGAAUUGCAAAAAUGAAAGUGACAUUAUGGAUGGAUUCAGAAUA